This 623-nucleotide ribosomal RNA is filed under the name Bacteroides sp. enrichment culture clone dylF13. Its description in RNAcentral is "bacterial SSU rRNA". It matches the Rfam family "Bacterial small subunit ribosomal RNA", at positions 19 to 631 of the family's 1533-position model. Lineage: Bacteria; Pseudomonadati; Bacteroidota; Bacteroidia; Bacteroidales; Bacteroidaceae. The record is from RNAcentral.
CUGGCUCAGGAUGAACGCUAGCGAUAGGCCUAACACAUGCAAGUCGAGGGGCAGCACAUGAAGUAGCAAUACGGAUGGUGGCGACCGGCGCACGGGUGAGUAACGCGUAUGCAACCUACCUACAACAGGGGAAUAACUCGUUGAAAGACGGACUAAUACCCCAUAAUACAGGGAUCCCGCAUGGGAAUAUUUGUUAAAGAUUUAUCGGUUGUAGAUGGGCAUGCGUUCCAUUAGCUAGUUGGUGAGGUAACGGCUCACCAAGGCAACGAUGGAUAGGGGAACUGAGAGGUUUAUCCCCCACACUGGUACUGAGACACGGACCAGACUCCUACGGGAGGCAGCAGUGAGGAAUAUUGGUCAAUGGACGCAAGUCUGAACCAGCCACGUCGCGUGAAGGAAGACGGCCCUACGGGUUGUAAACUUCUUUUGUAAGGGAAUAAAGUGAGCCACGUGUGGCUUUUUGCAUGUACCUUACGAAUAAGGAUCGGCUAACUCCGUGCCAGCAGCCGCGGUAAUACGGAGGAUCCGAGCGUUAUCCGGAUUUAUUGGGUUUAAAGGGUGCGCAGGCGGGGGAUUAAGUCGGCGGUGAAAUUUUGCAGCUCAACUGUAAAAGUGCCUUCGAA